AUGAGGCCAUUGAGUACGACUGAGCUGGCGAGUUGGGACUCGCUGCAAGCUCAAAUUGGAUCGAUUGUCCUGAGUCAGGAAGCUGACAAAGUGUCAUGGGACUUGUCGGCGUCUCGUAAGUUCUCGGUUAAGUCCUUAUACAGCAAGUUGACUGAGGGUACCGCCUUAGAUAUACCUAGGGGGCUAUGGAAGGCUAGGAUUCCGCUAAAGAUUAAAAUAUUCCUUUGGCAAAUGUUUCGUAACAGACUCCCAACAGCGGAUAACGUGGCCAAGCGUAACGGUCCUUCGGACGGGUCCUGUGUGGUGUGUGAAUCGCUAGAGGAUGCGAAUCAUGCACUUUUUCAUUGUGCACUUGCACGUUUUGCCUGGAGUGCGGUGCGCGAGGUGUUCCAACAAAACUGGAACCCGCGAUGGGGGGCUGAGUUGUUGGUAAUACAAUCGCAGAGGGGUGCCAAGGCCAGGGUCUUGUGGAGUUGCGUGGGAGCAUUACUUUGGUUCUUAUGGACAGUGAGAAACAAAAUGACUAUCGAGCACAAGUUCCCGGCUAACCCGACUGAUGUUAUUUUCAAAUGCCAUCUUUUUCUACAGACCUGGACUCCGCUGGUGAAACAAGGUGAUGCUGACCUCAUGAGGAGCACGAUAGAGAAGAUUGCCAGUAGCAUCCCGAGACUGCGUCAAUCAUCUUGA
RNAcentral lists this ribosomal RNA (687 nucleotides) under Triticum aestivum (bread wheat). RNAcentral's name for it is "partial small subunit ribosomal RNA". The record is from RNAcentral. Lineage: Eukaryota; Viridiplantae; Streptophyta; Magnoliopsida; Poales; Poaceae.